GAUGAAUGCUGGCGGCGUGCCUUACACAUGCAAGUCGAGCGGCAGCGCGAGUAGUUUACUACUUGGCGGCGAGCGGCGGACGGCUGAGUAACGCGUGGGAACGUGCCCCAAAGUGAGGAAUAACUGCCCGAAAGGGUGGCUAAUGCCGCAUAUGAUCUUCGGAUUAAAGUCUUCGGACGCUUUGGGAGCGGCCCGCGUCGGAUUAGGUUGUUGGUGAGGUAAUGGCUCACCAAGCCGACGAUCCGUAGCUGGUCUGAGAGGAUGAUCAGCCAGACUGGGACUGAGACACGGCCCAGACUCCUACGGGAGGCAGCAGUGAGGAAUCUUCCACAAUGGGCGAAAGCCUGAUGGAGCAACGCCGCGUGCAGGAUGAAUGCCUUCGGGUUGUAAACUGCUUUUAUAAGUGAAGAAUAUGACGGUAACUUAUGAAUAAGCACCGGCUAACUACGUGCCAGCAGCCGCCGCUG
This 467-nucleotide ribosomal RNA is filed under the name uncultured bacterium. RNAcentral's name for it is "partial 16S ribosomal RNA". It matches the Rfam family "Bacterial small subunit ribosomal RNA", at positions 28 to 523 of the family's 1533-position model. The record is from RNAcentral.